CAUCAUCCACAAAGUAAGGCCCUGAGCAUC
RNAcentral lists this non-coding RNA (30 nucleotides) under Homo sapiens (human). Lineage: Eukaryota; Metazoa; Chordata; Mammalia; Primates; Hominidae. The record is from RNAcentral.